This 253-nucleotide ribosomal RNA is filed under the name uncultured bacterium. Its description in RNAcentral is "partial 16S ribosomal RNA". It matches the Rfam family "Bacterial small subunit ribosomal RNA", at positions 524 to 776 of the family's 1533-position model. The record is from RNAcentral.
UACGGGGGGGGCAAGCGUUGUUCGGAAUUACUGGGCGUAAAGGGUUUGUAGGUGGCUUGCUAAGUCAGACGUGAAAUCCCUCAGCUUAACUGGGGAACUGCGUCUGAGACUGGCAGGCUUGAGUGCAGGAGAGGAACGCGGAAUUCCAGGUGUAGCGGUGAAAUGCGUAGAUAUCUGGAGGAACACCGGUGGCGAAGGCGGCGUUCUGGACUGUAACUGACACUGAUGAACGAAAGCCAGGGGAGCAAACGGG